UUCUUUGCUAUGUGUGAUCUUCUUGCUUAUGAGUGAACAUAUAACAAGUUUAUUCAAUUUUAAACAAGGAAACUAAAGGAGAGGGCUUCUGGAAGCAACAAUAGUGAAAGGUGAAGAAGUUAAGAAUAAAGGAAAAGCCUUUCAUAUGCGAGCCUUGCCAACUUCAUCAUAAAACACCCUUCAUUCCCCCUCCUUCUCUGCUCCCUCCCUCCCUCUGUUCAUGCAGCAGAUGCUUAAAUGCCCCUGAUACGCACCACAGAACUGCAUACUUGACUCAUGCUCUCUGCAGGUCAUUUGAAAAAAUAAGCAUGAAGAAUUUGGUGAAGACUGCGAUAAUUGGGAGGAGGAGGUAUUCUUGAUAUUCUUGGAAAAUUUUCCAGAAAUAAGACCCACUGUCUCAUUUCCAUCUCUACUUCCAGAACACCCACAUGCCACCAUGUUAAGUGCUAUUUAUGUCAUCAGCCAAGAAAAUGUAUUUGAUAAAGAACCUUGACAAUGGUAGAAAAUUGAUGCUCCCUAUAACUUCAGCAGAAGGGAGUUUUUAGCUCCACCGCCCCAUGAUCCUGCAAGCAGUUAGGGAGCUCACUCCACUUUCUAAAGGACACUGAUAACGGUAAUAAUAUUCCAUCCCUGAUCAGAGGAAAGGAGAGAGGAGCUAAGGAAAAGCUGAAAAACAAAUCCCGUUCUUUUAUGAGGACUAGUAAAGAAUGAGAGAGAAAUAAAUCCAUCUAUCAAACAGACUUUCAAAUGAUGACUUCAUUAGUAAAGCAAUGAUCAGUUUGACUCUGGGACAAAACAAAACUGGGGACAGAAAAACUUGGACAAAAUAAUAAAGUUGUAGAGACAACAUUUUGGCUGUAACGAUGAAAGUGUUAUUAGUAUCUUUAUUGUUGUUGAUGCUGCAUUUGUUGAUAUUUAAGCACUUUGGAAUUUUUGGUACUGUUUGUGAACCCCAGAAUGUUUUAAUGUUUUUUCAAUUUCCAUAUUGCUUUCUAGAAUUUUGUUCAUUUCUGAAUUUUAUGCAUUUUUUAAAAUUUAUAGUUUGCUUUGCCU
Molecule: long non-coding RNA, 1053 nt
Organism: Balaenoptera ricei (Rice's whale)
Lineage: Eukaryota; Metazoa; Chordata; Mammalia; Artiodactyla; Balaenopteridae
Exons: 3
Source: RefSeq, a predicted model, not a curated record